GACGAACGCUGGCGGCGUGCUUAACACAUGCAAGUCGAACGGAAAGGCCCUGCCUUUCUGGGCUGCUUGAGUGGCGAACGGGUGAGUAACACGUGGGUAACCUGCCCUUGACUGUGGGAUAACUUCAGGAAACGGGGGCUAAUACCGGAUAGGAGCUCCUGCUGCAUGGUGGGGGUUGGAAAGUUUCGUCGGUUGGGGAUGGACUCGCGGCUUAUCAGCUUGUUGGUGAGGUAGUGGCUUACCCAGGCUUGGACGGCUAGCCGGCCUGAGAGGGUGACCGGCCACAUAGGGACUGAGGAACGGCCCAGAGGGCUACGGGAGGCAGCGGUGGGAAAUUUUGCAAGCUGGGCGGAAGCAGGAUGCAGCAUCGCCGUGUCGGGGAGGACGGCCUUCGGGUUGUAAACCGUGUUCGCCUGGGAAGAAGCGACAGUGACGGUAAUUGAUAAAAAAGCGCCGGCUAACUACGUG
This 468-nucleotide ribosomal RNA is filed under the name uncultured bacterium. Its description in RNAcentral is "partial 16S ribosomal RNA". It matches the Rfam family "Bacterial small subunit ribosomal RNA", at positions 28 to 507 of the family's 1533-position model. The record is from RNAcentral.